This 467-nucleotide ribosomal RNA is filed under the name uncultured bacterium. RNAcentral's name for it is "partial 16S ribosomal RNA". It matches the Rfam family "Bacterial small subunit ribosomal RNA", at positions 28 to 506 of the family's 1533-position model. The record is from RNAcentral.
GACGAACGCUGGCGGCGUGCUUAACACAUGCAAGUCGAACGGAAAGGCCCUGCUUUUGUGGGGUGCUCGAGUGGCGAACGGGUGAGUAACACGUGAGUAACCUGCCCUUGACUUUGGGAUAACUUCAGGAGACUGGGGCUAAUACCGGAUAGGAGCUCCUGCUGCAUGGUGGGGGUUGGAAAGUUUCGGCGGUUGGGGAUGGACUCGCGGCUUAUCGGCUUGUUGGUGGGGUAGUGGCUUACCAAGGCUUUGACGGGUAGCCGGCCUGAGAGGGUGACCGGCCACAUUGGGACUGAGAUACGGCCCAGACUCCUACGGGAGGCAGCAGUGGGGAAUAUUGCACAAUGGGCGGAAGCCUGAUGCAGCAACGCCGCGUGCGGGAUGACGGCCUUCGGGUUGUAAACCGCUUUCGCCUGUGACGAAGCGUGAGUGACGGUAAUGGGUAAAGAAGCACCGGCUAACUACGU